UUUAACUAAUUACAAAGAUAAACAAUAUAUAUGUAUAGAAAAAAAAAAUGCUUAUUCAAGUGAAGAUUCCGAAACUGAUAAUGAAAAAGAAAAAUCUUUUUAUAUAUUUGAACAAGAUGAAAAUAAGAAAAAAGGUGCAUCUAUUCUCAUGGACAGAAAAAAGAAAGUUUACGCUUCCAAAGGCACAAGCAUACUGUCCAACUAUAAUAUGAAGGAAGUGUUGAGCUUCAUGAACUCAGGUAUAAGAAAGCAUAACAAACGGAAAGAAAAAAUACAAGGUAAAAAACAUACAAAGGAAGAAAAAAUGGAAUGCAUGUAGCGGAUGGUAAGAAAGAAAAAUGUGUAGAGCAAGAAAAGGAGGAAAAAGAGGUAGAGCAAGAAAAGGAGGAAAUAGUCGCAGAGGAAGAAAGGGAGGAAAUAGUCGCAGAGGAAGAAAGGGAGGAAAAAGAGGUAAAGGAUGGAAAGAAGGAAAAAGAGGUAGCGGAAGAAAAGAAGGAAAAAGAGGUAGAAAAAGAAAAGAAGGAAAAAGAGGUAGAGCAAGAAAAGGAGGAAAAAUUGGUAGAGGAAGAAAAGGAGGAAAAAUUGGUAGAGGAAGAAAAGAAGGAAAAAGAGGUAGAGGAAGAAAGCAAGGAAAUAGUCGUAAAGGAAGAAAAGGAGGAAAAAGAGGUAGCGGAAGAAAAGAAGGAAAUAGUCACAGAGGAAGAAAAUAAGGAAAUAAGUGUAGAAGAAGAAAAGAAAGACAAAUAUACCGAAAAGAACAAAAUAGAAGAUAACAACAUCCAGACUGAACAAACAGGUGACACUGAAUUGAAAAGCUCAAAAGUAGAAAACACAAAAGAUACACCAGAAAAAGCAUAUAUAAAAAAAAAAAGUAAUAAAGAAGGAGCAUCAGAACAUAAACUUUUAAUUACUCAUAAUAUUGCAAAACAACAACCCAUAAUAUAUAAAACAGAGGAAGAGCAUUACCAAACAGAUGAUAUUAAUGGUAAAAAUGUUUUUGCAAAUAAAAAGUUAAAAGAACCAGUAUCAAACGAAUUUAAAUAUUUAAAUCGUGACAAUAAUAUAAAAGAAACUAUUACAAGUGACUUUAUUAUAAAAAAAGAAUUGAAUGAAAAACAAACGAUAAAUCAUAUUAAAAUAAAACCAGAAACAACAAGUGUUGACUCAUUAGCAGAUACAACAGAAGAAAGUUUAAUAAUUAAAGAAUUUAUUUCAAAAAAUAAAGAACGUGUUAAAACGGAGGGACACACAGAAGGACAAGUAGCAGGACAAGCAGAAGAACAAGUGAAAGAGAACAUUUUGGUAAAAGAGCAAAGCGUAGAGGAAGAUAAAAUAGAUGAAUGUAAAAAGAAAGAUAAAACAGAAACAUUGCAAGUACAGUCCACUACACCUGCCACAACUCUUAAAAUUAUUAUAUCAGAAAAUGAUGAAAAACAGACACAAAAUAAAAUUAACAGUAUAACCAAUGAACAAAAUUUAAAUAUAAUUAAUAAAUAUAACAACAUUAUAGAAGAUGUUAAUCAAGAGAAAAAAAAAAAAAAACUUUCAAAAGGUAGGAGUGCUAGUAGUAGUGGUAGUAGUAGUAGUAGUAGUGGUAGUAGUAGUAGUAGUAGUAGUGUUAGUCCUACUCAAAGUGUAAACAUAAAUGACAACGUAAAAAAUGUUUUUCAAAGCAAUACAACCGAAAUAAUUAAAAAUGGUAACCUAGUUUUAAACAAUGAAAAAAAUGAAUUGAAUAGUAUGUGUUUAACAACUGAAAAUAAAUUAUUAACAAAUAAACAGUUAGAAGAUAAUUUAAAAACUG
Molecule: long non-coding RNA, 1804 nt
Filed under: Piliocolobus tephrosceles (Ugandan red Colobus)
Lineage: Eukaryota; Metazoa; Chordata; Mammalia; Primates; Cercopithecidae
Description: lncRNA (ENSPTEG00000013939.1)
Source: RNAcentral